UCAGCAUCCACAAAGCCUUUUUCAACUUUUGACCUCGGAUCAGGUAGGGAUACCCGCUGAACUUAAGCAUAUCAAUAAGCGGAGGAAAAGAAACCAACAGGGAUUGCCCUAGUAACGGCGAGUGAAGCGGCAACAGCUCAAAUUUGAAAUCUGGCUCUUUUAGAGUCCGAGUUGUAAUUUGCAGAGGGCGCUUUGGCUUUGGCAGCGGUCCAAGUUCCUUGGAACAGGACGUCACAGAGGGUGAGAAUCCCGUACGUGGUCGCUGGCUAUUGCCGUGUAAAGCCCCUUCGACGAGUCGAGUUGUUUGGGAAUGCAGCUCUAAAUGGGAGGUACAUUUCUUCUAAAGCUAAAUAUUGGCCAGAGACCGAUAGCGCACAAGUAGAGUGAUCGAAAGAUGAAAAGCACUUUGGAAAGAGAGUCAAACAGCACGUGAAAUUGUUAAAAGGGAAGCGCUUGCAGCCAGACUUGCUUACAGUUGCUCAUCCGGGCUUUUGCCCGGUGCACUCUUCUGUAGGCAGGCCAGCAUCAGUUUGGGCGGUAGGAUAAAGGUCUCUGUCACGUACCUCCUUUCGGGGAGGCCUUAUAGGGGAGACGACAUACUACCAGCCUGGACUGAGGUCCGCGCAUCUGCUAGGAUGCUGGCGUAAUGGCUGUAAGCGGCCCGUCUUGAAACACGGACCAAGGAGUCUAACAUCUAUGCGAGUGUUUGGGUGUCAAGCCCGAGCGCGUAAUGAAAGUGAACGGAGGUGGGAACCCGCAAGGGUGCACCAUCGACCGAUCCUGAUGUCUUCGGAAGGAUUUGAGUAAGAGCAUGGCUGUUGGGACCCGAAAGAUGGUGAACUAUGCUUGAAUAGGGUGAAGCCAGAGGAAACUCUGGUGGAGGCUCGCAGCGGUUCUGACGUGCAAAUCGAUCGUCAAAUUUGGGCAUAGGGGCGAAAGACUAAUCGAACUAUCUAGUAGCUGGUUCCUGCCGAU
This 975-nucleotide ribosomal RNA is filed under the name Alternaria aspera. RNAcentral describes it as "eukaryotic LSU rRNA". It matches the Rfam family "Eukaryotic large subunit ribosomal RNA", at positions 1 to 965 of the family's 3401-position model. Lineage: Eukaryota; Fungi; Ascomycota; Dothideomycetes; Pleosporales; Pleosporaceae. The record is from RNAcentral.